RNAcentral lists this ribosomal RNA (478 nucleotides) under uncultured bacterium. RNAcentral describes it as "bacterial SSU rRNA". It matches the Rfam family "Bacterial small subunit ribosomal RNA", at positions 35 to 507 of the family's 1533-position model. The record is from RNAcentral.
GCUGGCGGCGUGCCUAACACAUGCAAGUCGAACGGAGUUUGUUUGAAUUGAGGCUUCGGCCAAUUUUCAUUUAAACUUAGUGGCGGACGGGUGAGUAACGCGUGAGUAACCUGCCGUUCAGAGGGGGACAACAGUUGGAAACUUGUGCUAAUACCGCAUGAAGCAUAUUUAAAGCAUUUUGAAUAUGUCAAAGGAGCAAUCCGCAUUAAGAUGGGCUCGCGUCUGAUUAGAUAGUUGGUGAGGUAACGGCUCACCAAGUCGACGAUCAGUAGCCGGACUGAGAGGUUGAACGGCCACAUUGGAACUGAGAUACGGUCCAGACUCCUACGGGAGGCAGCAGGUGGGGAAUAUUGGGCAAUGGGCGAAAGCCUGACCCAGCAACGCCGCGUGAAGGAAGAAGGCCUUCGGGUUGUAAACUUCUUUUACCAGGGACGAAUAAAUGACGGUACCUGGAGAAAAAGCAACGGCUAACUACGUG